UACCUAGCUGAUCUUGCCAGUAGUCAUAUGCUUGUCUCAAAGAUUAAGCCAUGCAUGUCUAGGUAUUAACUAAUUCAUAUUGUGAAACUAUGGAUGCCUCAUUAAAUCAGUUAUAGUUUCUUUGAUGGUACCCUACUACUCGGAUAACCAUAGUAAUUCUAGAGCUAAUACAUGCACCAAGUCCUGACUCUUUGGAAGGGAUGAAUUUAUUAUAUAAAAGUUCGACGCAGGCUUGCCCGCUUCUCUGGUGAAUCAUGAUAACUCGACGGAUCGCACAACCCUUUUGUUGGUGAUGAUUCAUUCAAAUUUCUACCCUAUCAACUUUUGAUGGUAGGAUAGAGGCCUACCAUGGUGGUGACGGGUGACAGAGAAUUAGGGUUUGAUUCCAUAGAGGGAGCUUGAGAAACGACUACCACAUCCAAGGAAGGCAUCAGGUGUGAAAAUUAGCCAAUCCUGACAUGGGGAGGUAGUGACAAUAAAUAACAAUACUGAGCUCAUUGAGUCUGGUAAUUGGAAUGAGUACAAUCUAAAUCCCUUAACUAGGAUCCAUUGGAGGGCAAGUAUGGUGCCAACAACCAUGGUAAUUCCAUCUCCAAUAGCGUAUAUUUAAGUUGUUGCAGUUAAAAAUCUCGUAGUUGGAUCUUAGGUCGUAAAGGUCGGUCCGCCUACUCGGUGUGCACCUGCUCUUCUGUCCCUUUUGUCGGCGGCAUGCUCUUGGGAUUAAUUGGAUGGGUCGUGGUUCUGAUGUUGUUACUUUGAAAAAAUUAUAGUGCUCAAAGCAAGAUUAUGCUAUGAAUACAUUAGCAUGGAAUAACAUGAUAGGAGUCUGGUCCUAUUGUGUUGGCCUUCGGGACCAGAUUAAUGAUUAGUAGGGACUAUUGGGGGCAUUCAUAUUUCAUUGUCAGAGGUGAAAUUAUUGGAUUUAUGAAAUAUGAACCAAUACAAAAUAAUUUUCCAAGGAUGUUUUCAUUAAUCAAGAAUGAAAGUUGGGGCCUCGAAGACGAUCAGAUACCGUCCUAGUCUCAACCAUUAACGAUGUCGACCAGAGAUCGACGAAUGUUGCUCUAAUGAAUCCACCAACACCUUCUGAGAAAUCAGAGUGUUUGGGUUUUAGGGGGAGUAUGGUUGCAAGGCUAAAACUUAAAGGAAUUGACGGAAGGGCACCAAUAGGAGUGGAGCCUAUGGCUUAAUUUGACUCAACACGGGAAAACUUACCAGGUCUAGACAUAGUAAGGAUUGACAAAUUGAGAAAUAUUUCUUGAUUCUAUGGGUAGUGGUGCAUGGUCUUUCUUAGUUGGUGGAGGGAUUUGUCUGGUUAAUUCCGAUAACGAACGAGAACUCAACUUGCUAACUAGCUACACAGAGGUUCCCCUUCGCGACCAACUUCUUAGAGGGACUAUGGUCGUUUAGGCCAUGGAAGUUUGAGGCAAUAAGAGGUCUGUGAUUCCCUUAAAUGUUCUGGGCUGCACGUGUGCUACACUAAUGCAAUCAACAAGUUUUUCUCCUUGGUUCAAUAGGAUCGAGAAAUCUUCUCAAAUUGCAUCAUGAUGGGGAUAGACCAUUGCAAUUAUUGGUCUUCAACGAGGAAUUCCUAGUAAGUGUGUGUCAUCAACUUAUGUUGACUACAUACUUUCCCUUUGUACACACCGCCCAUUGCUUCUAUCGAUUGAAUGAUCCGGUGAAGUGUUCGAAUCGCAUCAACGACAGUGGUUCGUCACCGACAAUGUCAUGGGAAGUUCAUUGAACCUUAUCAUUUAGAGGAAGGAGAAGUCAUAACAAGGUUACCAUAGGUGAACCUGCAGUAGGAUCAUUG
Molecule: non-coding RNA, 1813 nt
Organism: Picea glauca (white spruce)
Lineage: Eukaryota; Viridiplantae; Streptophyta; Pinopsida; Pinales; Pinaceae
Source: Rfam